CAGGAGGCUGGGGUGGGGGCUGGAUGUGGAGUCCUCCGAGGUCGGGAGGCUGGGCUCCUCCUGUUCGUCCAUAUGCAUUUCUGGCCCCUUCCCCUCCAGCCCUGAGGGAAGCCAUCCCGCAGAGAGGCGGUUCCAGGUGCAGGUGGGCCACCUCCUCGCCCUGCAUGUCCUGUCCCCAGGCUGCUGCUCUGCAUGCUGCUGCUGGGGGCUGCCCUUUCCCUGGCCCACCCUGCCGAGGGGCUCGCUGCCAGGGUCUGGGGAGGCAGGAUCUGGUGCUACAGCUGCCGGGUGUCAAGGGCAGCGGGCUGUCCUGGUAAGCAAGGGCUGACAAAGGGGCUUGCAGCAGCAGGACCAGAGGUUGGUGAGGACGAGGCUGGGACCAGAAUGAACGCUCCUCACGCAUUCGUCUAUCAGAGUCACUGAAUCCCCUUGGCCUGCCCCAGGGCCAGCGCUGGUUGCUGGGGACAGAGAUGUGGACCAGCCCACCUGGGUCCCCUGCCUCCAGGGGGGCAAGCGGGGUAACUAAGACAUGCAUGUGCAAAUCCACAAAAGUGUAACCUCCUCCGAGAAGCCCUCCCUGACCCCCUUCCCUCCUCCCUGACUGAGGUGGCUGUUGCCCCAGUGAAGAGGGAAUCAGACUGCCUAGGUUCAAGCUCUGGCUCCGCCUCUUGCUGGCCGUAGGCCCAGGCGAGUCACUCCACCGCUGAGCCCCAGUUUCCUCAUCUGUAACAGAGGGGUAACAAGAUUACAUAUGUCGUAGACUUAUUGUGAGCGUUAAAGGAAAUCCACAGGAUGGCUCCUGGGAGGGAGGAAUGCUUUCAGCAGCCACAGACCGGCUUUCAGGAGAGGCACAGUGAGCAGAAACGGCUGGCCCGCAUUCUGGAAGAAAAGGUGGAGCUGGAAACAGAAGCCCCCAGGCUGACCCAGUGGGCAGGGAGCGGAUGUGAAGGACUAGGCCACCCAAGUCACCAGGACACAAUAAAUAGCUGCCCCCUCGUAAAGAGUAUAAAGAGUACCAGGUAACCCGAGACCUCUGGGGUAGAAUUUCUGGCAGGAUUCUGCCUCUAUAAAUAGGCCUGCCCUGUUCCCCAGAGAGGCAGGCGGGCAGGAGCUGCAGGGGCGGUGGGUGCCAGGCUGGACAAAGGCCCAGGAGGCUGGGGAGCAGGGGGCAUGGCUCGCUGCGGGCCCCUGGGGACAUCUGAUCCAGGCUGGGGCUGUGUCUGCAUCUGGGUGACCUCAGGGCCAAGUGGCUGUCCGUGAGAAUUCCCAGGUGAGUUUAUUUCUUAAAAGCAUGAAUUAGAGCUGGGGACCAUAGGAGGCAAACGGAGGCAACUUAGAGGGUUCCCACCCUCUGCCAAGAACUUGGGAGCACAUAGGACAUACAAGAUAAGGGCCGUUCUUGGGAGGGCUUUUUUCCUCCCAAAUUAUUUCCCCAAAUAAUUGACUGGGGAAACAGGGGAGAAAGGGAGGCAGAUCAGCCCAGACUUUCCCAGUCUUCCUCCGGCCAAGACCCCUGCCGGGACAGCGCCACCUUGUGUGUUUGCAGGUGGCUAGACGACAAGGGGCCCCAGCGCUUCCCUGGAGGGCUGGCCUGCGCCAUCGUUGGGGGCUCCCCCAGCCACUUGCCCUUCUCCUUCAGGAAUCUCAGGGCUUCCAGGGAUCCCUAACACAGCUCCUCCAGGUCCUGCAGGAUUCAGGUUAAAGGUCUUUGCUGAGAAGCCGCAGAGUGAACUUGAACUUUGCACCAUAUGGAGCGAGGAGGCUGCUGUUGGACUGUCUCCAGGGUCAUCAGAGAUGCUCGGGGUGACCACCUGGUCCAGGCAGGACCGCGGGGCCCAUCGAUAUUCAAGGGGCCGCCUCACCCAGGAAGUUACGCAUCCCCACAGUGGGACAGCCAGUGGUCAGCGACUGACCGACAAAGGAUACAAAAGAUCAGCUGCCAUGGCAAUUGUUCCAGGCUGAUGAUACUGUUCUGCAUCUUGACAGAAGAGCAUUUUGAAGCCCGAUGCCUCCAUAGGGACAUUUGGAGACAGAAAAGCAGGAGUGGAAGAGAAAGCCGAGCGCAGCGGAGGGAUGCUACAUAAAGGCAACGGUGACCAUGGACAGAGGGCUCCCUCCCGUGCCAGGCACGAUCUGUCACCCGGAGCUUCUCACCUAGUUUUGCAAUAACCACAUGGGGUGUGGUGUCACGUCCACUUCACAGGUGAGGAAUCAAGCAUCUUACCCAAGACCUGACAGGUAACAAGUGGCAGAGGUAGAACGCCCUGAGGCUGGCAACUUCCUUGCGCUACCAUAGAAAGAGGGUCCCUAUUUAUUUCCCCUGGAUGUCCCCAAACAAAGGCGUGACAUUCCAAGAGAGCCACUCCCCUCUUCUGGCCAAGAGCCAUGGCUGCGAACCACUGAGGAGUGGAAGGGAGUCCCUGGCACCACCCUUUGCCCCCUCCCAUGCCCACCUCUCCCUCCCCACCCCAUCCAGCAGGCCCCGGCCUUGCCCUGGGUCAGGCUCCUCCUCUUGCUGAGGGUCUCCCUGCUCAGAGCAUCGUGCCUGCCUCCCCAUCACCUCACAGCACAGUCUGGCCAAAGCAGAACAAGCUGGGGGCGGGGGGCCGUCUCUCCUCCCCGCACCUGCAGACUUGGAGGACGAGGCCCCAUCGUACUCAUUUUGUACAAUGGCAGCUCUCACUUCAACAGGCAAAGGGCGGUUUUGAGGAAUGUGUCAUGGUUCCGUAGAGGUUGAGCUCAGGGGAGCUGGGUGAAGGGUCCGUGAAAACUCUCUACUGUCUUUGCCACUUUUAUUUAAAUCUGAAGUUAUUCAAAAUUAAAAGUUUAUGAAAAGAAAGAAAAAGGCAGAAUUCAGUGAAGACUGAAGAAGCCCAGGGAGCCACAGCCCACGGAGGACGGGCUCCAGCCACAUGGAUGUUGCCCGACCAGCUUUCCCAAGGCUCCGGAGUGGGACGGAGCGGAGCGGCAGAGGAAGAGCCCAAGAAACGCAGCGUCCAACCCAGGCAGGGACUCCAGCCAGAUUCAUGGGGUGGAAAAUGGGAUAUUUGCUAGCGCACGAGACACGUUUGGACAGAACUUAUUACAGAAACUUUCACACAUGGGCCAAGUAGAGAGCUGGGUAUCAUGGGCCUCAUGCACCUGUGAGCAGCACCUGUGAGGCCCGCAUGUGUCCUGAGGGGGCUGCUUCUGGGAGCAGGUUAGGGGAAUGGGGGUCUGUUAAUAGAAGCAACACCACUUCACCCUUCUCAUUAGACCUUUUAAACCAUGGCGAGGAGGUGGGGCAGGAAAUCCCCUUGCUCUCGCCAGCCCCUUGCUGUGUGAGGUGGGGCACGCUGCUCUCUGGGUCUCACCUGCCUCAGCUGGAAAUGAGGGGCUUGACCUAGAUGCUUUCCAGACCCCAAAGACAUGUCCAAAGCUGAAUUCGUUACUGGCCCCUACACCUGCUCUGGCUCCCAGGUCCCCAUCUCAGCCAAUGGCACCGCUAUCCACCCAGUUACUCAGACCAGGAACCUGGGUGUCAUUCAGACUGUUCCCCGCUUUUCACCCCUAGUCUCCUCAGUCACACAAAGAUUCUGCCCUUUCUGCCUCCUAAAUGUUUUCCACCGUGGCCAUCUUAAUCCCUGCCCCAUCCUUGUCAUCAUCAUCUCUUCUGCCUACUGCACUGGUCCCAGCCUCCCAUUGCAUCCUUAUUCUUCUUCCAUGCUGGAGCCAUGUCCAGUGGAGAUCACACUUACAUUUACAUUAAGAUGCGGACCUUGAUGCCCAAACUUCCAUCUGCUCAGUGUGAAGGAAGGUCUAUUUCCCCAAAUGUUUCUGAGAUUCUCUGUGAGCAUUUACACCCCUGAAAGCCAGUCUCCUUGACAACUCUGUGAGGGACAAAUUUGACUAUGCACCUGCUGGUCUCGCUGGGUUGAGUGUUGUGGCUGCUAUGGGUGACCGAGUGGGGGUCCACACCGCCUGGACAGUAGCUCCCUUGGGGCGCCUCUGCUGUCUGUGUCCCCACUCUUGUCACUUCUGUCCUCAUGGAGCUCUGAUGGCUGAUCAGGCCCACUGAAUAGCAAGAGCGAGCAUGUUCCUCUGCUCCCGGGGCCCCACAGCCAAGCCGCCUGGGCCCUGAGUGAUACGCCCCUUUAAUUCACCCCCUCCAUUCUCCAGGGCUGCAUGCCUGGAUGCCAGGUCCCCUCAGACGACUUUCCAGGGGCCUGGGGAGGACGUUUCCAGGGGCCUCCUUUACUCACCUACCAUGUGACCUCUAUUAGGGGUGCCUAUGUCUCUGUGGGCAACAAAACACGGAAUGCCAGGGCCCUCCCAGCCCUUCGGUCCAGCAGUGGUGGGGUGGGCAGGGCUGGCAGGGGCGAUGUCUUGCUCCUGGCUGGCAGCCCUGCGCUCAGGCUUCCACACAGACACCACAUGGAGGAAACACGCCCAGCGGCGCCCGCGCCUGCCCUCCUCCCGCCUCUCACCACAGCUCCUCCAGAGACAGGAUGGGCAGCCACAUCCCUGCAGGCAUGCACCUGGCCAGGGGCAGGGCACAGAGGCAGCGCCAGCGAGAACCUGUCCUUACCGGAUCUGCUUGCUUGCAGAUGCCAGGGUUCCUCUGUCAUGCUGGGCUGAACACCUGGGAGGGGGAUCUGCUCCUGACGCCCCAGGCGUGGGAUGGGCAAAGGCAGGCAUCACUCACAUCUGUGGGAGGGAGGCUGGGCUGGCCUCUGUUCCCAGUGUCCACACGGGCAGGCUGACCUUCACUCCCGGCUCCUUGUACCCAAGGGAAGCAGGCUGUUCCACCUCCUCCUGUGAAAAUGACCCAUCCAGGUAGCAGGUCAAGCAUUUAGUCCACAAACUUUCACGAAGCCCCAAUUCCUCCAGGCACAGGUGGAGGCAUGGGACCCACUCCAGUAAACAGCAGGCUUGUUACACCACUUCACCAAGCUUUUAUUUCAUUUUUAUAAGCUUUUAAAAUAGAGCGGGGAGAAAGCAAACCAGUGGAGGACAACGACGUUGAGAACGGCCUGCGGAUGGCGGCUGGGCAGCGCCGGGUCUGAAGGUCAGGCUUCCCAACUUGAACAAGCUAAGAAGCCAGUGGGGUCACAUCUGCUCCUUUGUGGCCCAUAUUAUUAAAGCAGGACGAGAUGGGAUGACCACACCAGGUAACACGGUCCAAGUCUCAGGUAGCAGCCAGACGUGCCUGAACUCUCUACCCUGUCCGGCACCUGUGCUCCACUCCUCCAACAGCAAGAAGACACAAGGCUUAAAGCGUCUCAUAGCUCAGAAACCACUUCCCCCACUUUUGUCUUCUUCUUCUUUUUGGUGGUGUCCCUGAGCCCAUCUCUCAGCUCAUGCCCACUCUCUGGCACAGCCUUGGUCUUCUUAUUCUUGUUCUCGUUCUUCUUUUUUUUUUUUUGAUUUUUUUUUUUUUUUUGCUGAGGAAGAUUCUCCCUGAGCUAACAUCUGUGCCCAUCUUCCCCUAUUUUGCAUGUGGGUCACCGACACAGCACAGCCACUGAUGAGUAGUGUAGGUCCAGGCCCAGGAACCGAACCUGGGCUGCCGAAGUGGAGUGCACCAAACUCAGCCAGCAGGCCCCAGGCCCAGCCCCCUCUUCUUCUCCUUCUUAACUGGGGAGCCACUAGAGAGGCCUCCUCACGUUCACCCCCACUCCCUCACUUCCACUUUGGGGCAUUUACUGUUUCAGCAACCACCUCUCUGUCUGCAGAAUCGCUGAGAGAGGAGACGUGGCAGCAGGUCAGGUUCUCUGAGCGGCUCUCCAAGGAGGUACCACCGUCUCCUCAGUUCAUCUGUGCUCUCCGGCAAGUCCAAAGUCACCCUCAGAACACCGAGGCUGGACACAACUCCCCCGUGCGCCUGCGGGGCCACACCUUCUCAAGUCCCAUGAGCCCGAGCAGGAGGGGAUACUGUCUGCUUUGUCCUUUUUGUUGCAAUACAAUCUCACAGUCUCAGGGAAGAUGCAAGAAUUGUGCAAAAAAAGAACUCUCAUGUCCCCUUCCCCAGAUUCUCCCAUCAAUAACAUUUGCUUUCUCUCUCUCUCUAAACACAGAUAAAUAAAGAUGCAAGAUAGAAAGAGAGAGAGAGAGGUUUUUUCCCCUGCGCCGUCAUAGAUUAGGUCGCAGAAACCACACCUCUUCACUAAAUAUCUUUGCUUGAUAUCUCAGAGUAUUUCCUAAGAACAAGGACUUUGUCUUAUGUAAUCACAGCACAAUUUUCAAUAUCUGGAAAUGUAACGUGAACAUGGGACUACUACGGAACUCCCAGUUCACACUUACAUUUUGCCAAUUGUCCCCCCAGGCCGGGCUCAAAUCCAGGACCACGUUUUGCACUUACCUGCCAUGUCACUUUAGUCUCCUUUCACCUGCCUUUCUUUGUCUUUCAUGAUUCUAAGUUUUUUGGUAAGAGAACAGGCAGGUUAUUCAGAAUGUCCCAUAAUCUGCAUUUAUUUUACGGGUCCUCAGAAUUACAUUCGAGUUAUGCAUUUUUGUCAAGGAUACUACAGAAGGGAUGUAUAUUUGUUUCUUGUUGCUGCUGUAACAAAUGACUGCAAACUUACCGGCUUAGAAAAACACGAAUUUCUUAUUUUACAGUUUGGGAGGUCAGCCAUCUGACAUGGGUCUCACCGGUUAAAGUCAAAGUGUGACAGGGCUGCGUUCGUUCUGGAGGCUGUAGGGAGAAUCCAUUUCCUUGUCUUUCGGAGGUGCCCACAUACCUUGGCUGGUGGCCCCUUCCUCCAUCUUCAAAGUCAGCAUUGCAGCAUCUUAGAAUCUCUGACUCUUCUGCUAACCUCUUCUAUCUUUUAAGGAUCCUUCUUUUACAUUGGGCCCACCCAGAUAAUCCAGAAUAAUCUCCCUGUCUGAAGAUCCUUAAUUUAAUCUCAUCCGCAAAGACGUGAGAUAACAUCUUCACAGGUUCUGAGUAUCGGGGUGUGGACGUCUCUGGAGGGUCACUAUUCAUCACGUGAUGUUUGUCAUUCUUAGGGAUCACUUCAGGAGGCCUGUGAUGUCAGUCUGUCCCCGUUAUUGGUGACGGUAACUUUGAUAUUUGGUUCUGGCUGUAUUUGCAGGAUUAAUCCACUGUAAUCUAUUUUUACUUUUGUAAAAGUAUUUUUACUUUUGUAAUUUGUAAUUUUACAGUAAACGUGAGGAAGGAACUUUGAAACUGUGUAAAUAUCCUGUUCCUGGUCUCUACCAGAUCGAGCCUCCACUGAUGGCUCCUGCCUGAAUCGAUUAUUGCUGAGAAUCUUGCAAAAUGAUUCUGCAUUUCCACAUUACUUUCUACAGUUAUUACUUAGCAUUUUAUGUAAGGGAGAGCUUUGUCUCCUCCACUGCUUUAUUCAUUUCUUUCAUUGAUGGACUCAAGGAUUCCUUAUUCCAUGAACAUUCUGUUAUUAACGUUAUUUAUUUUGAUGUUCAAAUUGUCCCAGAUUUAGCCAGUGAAACCCCCUUCAAGCUGACUCCUGCAUGCUUUUAACAAGCCCCUGUCGUUUUUUGAAGACUUCCUUGUUUUCUGGCAUAAGAUGUUA
Molecule: long non-coding RNA, 7532 nt
Organism: Equus asinus (donkey)
Lineage: Eukaryota; Metazoa; Chordata; Mammalia; Perissodactyla; Equidae
Source: Ensembl